UACGUAGGGUGCAAGCGUUGUCCGGAAUUAUUGGGCGUAAAGAGCUCGUAGGCGGUUUGUCGCGUCGAAUGUGAAAACCCGGGGCUCAACCCCGGGCCUGCAUUCGAUACGGGCAGACUAGAGUUCGGUAGGGGAGUCUGGAAUUCCUGGUGUAGCGGUGAAAUGCGCAGAUAUCAGGAGGAACACCGGUGGCGAAGGCGGGACUCUGGGCCGAUACUGACGCUGAGGCGCGAAAGCGUGGGGAGCAAACGGG
This 253-nucleotide ribosomal RNA is filed under the name uncultured bacterium. RNAcentral describes it as "partial 16S ribosomal RNA". It matches the Rfam family "Bacterial small subunit ribosomal RNA", at positions 524 to 776 of the family's 1533-position model. The record is from RNAcentral.